UACGUAGGUGGCAAGCGUUGUCCGGAAUUAUUGGGCGUAAAGCGCGCGCGGGCGGCUUCUUAAGUCUGAUGUGAAAGCCCACGGCUCAACCGUGGAGGGUCAUUGGAAACUGGGGAGCUUGAGUGCAGGAGAGGAGAGUGGAAUUCCAUGUGUAGCGGUGAAAUGCGUAGAUAUAUGGAGGAACACCAGUGGCGAAGGCGGCUCUCUGGCCUGUAACUGACGCUGAGGCGCGAAAGCGUGGGGAGCAAACAGG
RNAcentral lists this ribosomal RNA (253 nucleotides) under uncultured bacterium. RNAcentral's name for it is "partial 16S ribosomal RNA". It matches the Rfam family "Bacterial small subunit ribosomal RNA", at positions 524 to 776 of the family's 1533-position model. The record is from RNAcentral.